ACCCUACAGAGUCCACAGACUGCUCCACAUUUCACCCUACACAGUCCACAGACUGCUCCACAUUUUCACCCCUACCACCAGUCCACAGACUGCCCACAUUUCACCCUACACAGUCCACAGACUGUUUCACAUUUCACCCUACAGAGUCCACAGACUGUUUCACAUUUCACCCUACAGAGUCCACAGACUGCCCCACAUUUCACCCUACACAGUCCACAGACUGUCCCACAUUUCACCCUACACAGUCCACAGACUGCCCCACAUUUCACCUACACAGUCCACAGGCUGCCCCACAUUUCACCCUACACAGUCCACAGACUGCUCCACAUUUCACCCUACACAGUCCACAGACUGCCCCACAUUUCACCCUACACAGUCCACAGACUGUUUCACAUAUCACCCUACACAGUCCACAGACUGUUUCACAUUUCACCCUACACAGUCCACAGACUGCCCCACAUUUCACCCUACACAGAGUCCACCGACUGUUUCACAUUUCACCCUACACAGUCCACAGACUGCCCCACAUUUCACCCUACAGAGUCCACCGACUGUUUCACAUUUCACCCUACAGAGUCCACAGACUGUUUCACAUUUCACCCUACAGAGUCCACAGACUGCCCCACAUUUCACCCUACAGAGUCCACAGACUGCCCCACAUUUCACCUACACAGUCCACAGACUGCCCCACAUUUCACCCUACACAGUCCACAGACUGACCCACAUUUCACCCUACACAGUCCACAGACUGCCCCACAUUUCACCCUACACAGUCCACAGACUGUUUCACAUUUCACCCUACACAGUCCACAGACUGCCCCACAUUUCACCCUACACAGAGUCCACCGACUGUUUCACAUUUCACCCUACACAGUCCACAGACUGCUCCACAUUUCACCCUACAGAGUCCACAGACUGUUUCACAUUUCACCCUACACAGUCCACAGACUGUUUCACAUUUCACCCUACAGAGUCCACAGACUGCUCCACAUUUCACCCUACAGACUCCACAGACUGCCCCACAUUUCACCCUACAGAGUCCACAGACUGCCCCACAUUUCACCCUACACAGUCCACAGACUGCCCCACAUUUCACCCUACAGAGUCCACAGACUGUUUCACAUUUCACCCUACAGAGUCCACAGACUGUUUCACAUUUCACCCUACACAGAGUCCACAGACUGCUCCACAUUCCACCCUACAGAGUCCACAGACUGCCCCACAUUUCACCCUACACAGAGUCCACCGACUGUUUCACAUUUCACCCUACACAGUCCACAGACUGCCCCACAUUUCACCCUACACAGUCCACAGACUGCCCCACAUUUCACCCUACAGAGUCCACAGACUGUUUCACAUUUCACCCUACAGAGUCCACAGACUGCCCCACAUUUCACCCUACAGAGUCCACAGACUGCUCCACAUUCCACCCUACACAGUCCACAGACUGCCCCACAUUUCACCCUACACAGUCCACAGACUGAUCCACAUUUCACCCUACACAGUCCACAGACUGCUCCACAUUUCACCCUACAGACUCCACAGACUGCCCCACAUUUCACCUACAGAGUCCACAGACUGCCCCACAUUUCACCCUACACAGUCCACAGACUGCCCCACAUUUCACCCUACAGAGUCCACAGACUGCUCCACAUUUCACGCUACACAGUCCACAGACUGCCCCACAUUUCACCCUACACAGUCCACAGACUGUCCACAUUUCACCCUACACAGUCCACAGACUGCCCCACAUUUCACCUACACAGUCCACAGGCUGCCCCACAUUUCACCCUACACAGUCCACAGACUGCUCCACAUUUCACCCUACACAGUCCACAGACUGCCCCACAUUUCACCCUACACAGUCCACAGACUGUUUCACAUAUCACCCUACACAGUCCACAGACUGUUCACAUUUCACCCUACACAGUCCACAGACUGCCCCACAUUUCACCCUACACAGAGUCCACCGACUGUUUCACAUUUCACCCUACACAGUCCACAGACUGCCCCACAUUUCACCCUACAGAGUCCACCGACUGUUUCACAUUUCACCCUACAGAGUCCACAGACUGUUUCACAUUUCACCCUACAGAGUCCACAGACUGCCCACAUUUCACCCUACAGAGUCCACAGACUGCCCCACAUUUCACCUACACAGUCCACAGACUGCCCCACAUUUCACCCUACACAGUCCACAGACUGACCCACAUUUCACCCUACACAGUCCACAGACUGCCCCACAUUUCACCCUACACAGUCCACAGACUGUUUCACAUUUCACCCUACACAGUCCACAGACUGCCCCACAUUUCACCCUACACAGAGUCCACCGACUGUUUCACAUUUCACCCUACACAGUCCACAGACUGCUCACAUUUCACCCUACAGAGUCCACAGACUGUUUCACAUUUCACCCUACACAGUCCACAGACUGUUUCACAUUUCACCCUACAGAGUCCACAGACUGCUCCACAUUUCACCCUACAGACUCCACAGACUGCCCCAUUUCACCUACAGAGUCCACAGACUGCCCCACAUUUCACCCUACACAGUCCACAGACUGCCCCACAUUUCACCCUACAGAGUCCACAGACUGUUUCACAUUUCACCCUACAGAGUCCACAGACUGUUUCACAUUUCACCCUACACAGAGUCCACAGACUGCUCCACAUUCCACCCUACAGAGUCCACAGACUGCCCCACAUUUCACCCUACACAGUCCACAGACUGCCCCACAUUUCACCCUACACAGAGUCCACCGACUGUUUCACAUUUCACCCUACACAGUCCACAGACUGCCCACAUUUCACCCUACACAGUCCACAGACUGCCCCACAUUUCACCCUACAGAGUCCACAGACUGUUUCACAUUUCACCCUACAGAGUCCACAGACUGCCCCACAUUUCACCCUACAGAGUCCACAGACUGCUCCACAUUCCACCCUACACAGUCCACAGACUGCCCCACAUUUCACCCUACACAGUCCACAGACUGAUCCACAUUUCACCCUACACAGUCCACAGACUGCUCCACAUUUCACCCUACAGACUCCACAGACUGCCCCACAUUUCACCCUACAGAGUCCACAGACUGCCCCACAUUUCACCCUACACAGUCCACAGACUGCCCCACAUUUCACCCUACAGAGUCCACAGACUGUUUCACAUUUCACCCUACAGAGUCCACAGACUGUUUCACAUUUCACCCUACACAGAGUCCACAGACUGCUCCACAUUUCACCUACAGAGUCCACAGACUGUUUCACAUUUCACCCUACAGAGUCCACAGAGUGCUUCACAGAACACCACCAAAGGGGACCAUCAAAUGAUCCCCAAGAAGUAAUGAGCGCCUUAAAAGUAAGAAAACUGCCGGGCGCGGCCUGUGAUCCCAGCACUUUGGGAGGCCGCGACGGGCGGAUCACGAGGUCAGGAGAUCGAGACCAUCCUGGCUAACACGGUGAAACCCCGUCUCUACUAAAAAAUAGAAAAAAAUAGCCAGGCGCGGUGGCGGGCGCCUGUAGUCCCAGCUACUCGGGAGGCUGAGGCGGGAGAAUGGCGUGAACCUGGGAGGCAGAGCUUGCAGUGAGCUGAGAUCCGGCCACUGCACUCCAGCCUGGGCGACAGAGAGACACUCCAUCUCAAAAUAAAAAGUGAGAAAGCCAACUUCCUCCCCCUCUCUUAACUCCCUCUCCUCAUUUCCACAGAACCAAAGAAAUAUGAAGGGCCAGUGACACCCCACUGAAGAACGCUCUCCUGGUGGUUACACUCUGUACACAGGGAGCACAGCCCUGCUCCGUGCUGCCUGAGGCUACUAUUCUAUACUACACUAGUACGAUCUGUUUGUUCUAUUCUAUACUAUUCCAUUCUCUACGAUAGAACACUACAGUUUCAUUCUAUACCAUAUAAUACUGUACUAUCUGUUCUGUUCUAUACUAUUUUCUUCCAUACGGAAAGGAGUUAGCCAGCUUGCUUUAAGCAGGGAAGGGUCCCAGAGAGCCUCCCGCCCAUGUUUUGUGCAGAUAGGGGGACUUGCACGGGGGGCUCGCCUAAACAUGCUCACAGCAGACUAAGGGCCCCCAUGCGCAUGGGGGAAUGGGGUGGAGCCACCAGAAAUUCACUCCUUACACAGACAGGGAGCCCAGCCCCAAGGAGCCCAGCCCCAUCAGCUUCUAUAUAAAAAGCCCUUGUAGUCAGCUGGGAAGGGGGCAACCAGCAACCUGCUCUCAGGACCCCUCUUUUCGCUGAGAGCUUAACUUUUAGCUUAACAAGUUCCACUGCACUCACUCUUCGAUGUCCCCGUGCCUGUUUCUUCCCGGUCAUGAGACAAGAACCUGGACCCAGCCGAGUUAAAGAGCAAACUCCUGCAUCAGUGCUACAGAACACUAUCCUCUCUGUUCUGUGCCAUGCGACUCUACUAUUCCACACCACACUACGUAAUAUUAAUACUAUGCUGUAUGUUCUAAUCUAGACUGUAUUAUGCUAUGCAAUACUACGUCAUUAGUUCAACUGUAUACUCUACAAUACUAUCCCACUUGUUCUAUUCUAGACCAUGUAAUACUAUUUGUCCUAUUGUAUACUAUACUACAUAAUGUUACAACUGUUUCUUCUAUGCUACCCUAUACAACAUUAUACUAUUUGUUCUAUUCUGCGCUACACUGUAUAAUUCUAUUUGUUUGUUCCAUUCUAUACAAUAUCUUGCAUCACUUUACCAUGCUCCACGAUACAAGAGUAGAGCCAGUUAUACGUUCAUAAUCUCUUUUCCAAGCUCUUACCCAGUAAGAAAUGUGAUGCUUUACUAUGCCUCACAUAAAUGCACAUUUCAUGAUAAUCAAUGCCAUUUCCUAUGGUUAUAGAAUUCUGUCUCUACGAUUCUAUUGAUAUGGUUUAUUUGGGCUUUUCUGUAAGUCCUUUGCAGUGUCUGGUUUCCUAGUGAAAAGAUGACUAAGGUCCCGAUAAGAUCCUACGAAACCAGCAUCCACACAGGCUCACCUGUGUGCACUCUGCUGGACUCCGUGUUGAAGGAGUGACAGGAAGACAGACGGCUGUCGGUGGAUGGAAGGCAACAAGCACAGAGUAGAUUCCAGAACUGAGACAUGUACCAAGGCUCUGGCACAGCUGAGGGUCGAUCCCAAUUCUAGCCUCUCACAGAAAGGCAGAGGAGACUUAGCACAAAGAGCAUGGAACUUUGCUUUAAUAAAGCAAAUGCUUACCACCCACUGUGAGGAGCUCAAGGAGAAAUGGCAGUAGGCUCUACUAAUAACUACUGCUUUAAAAUGGAAGGGAGAGGGUACAUUUUCACAUGGGCCAUGUGGAAAGUUGGCUGACCUGCCGCUGGACUGAUGCUGGACCUGCCGCUGGACCUGCCCCUGGACCUGCAGCUGGACCUGUCCCUGGACCUGAUGCUGGACCUGUCCCUGGACCUGCUGCUGGACCUGCUGCUGGACCUGACGUUGGACCUGACACUGGACCUAUCCCUGGACCUGCCGCUGGACCUGCCACUGAACUGCUAACAAAUGCUGCAGAUUUUUAUGGAGAGAAAAGUACAAUGCGUCUGAGAGCAGCUGUCCCAGCUCUGGAUGAAGCCGGCAGAAAAAGGAAGCAGCAGAGACGCUGGCAUCAUUCAGUGGGCAGAGUCAAUGACCCUCCUCUAAGUCCAGCAAGCUCAACCUGCAUGUCUGCAACUAGAAAUACCAAUCAUAAGCCAGACUCCUGGCAAAUACCAUUGACCUGCUGUAAUUCUGUGUGGUGUAUUAUGUCCCAUGCACAGGAAAUCAUUCACAAAGCAUUAACAAGGAAGUAUUAACAUGACUUUUUAAUGCAAUAUAACA
This is a long non-coding RNA of Macaca mulatta (Rhesus monkey), 5831 nucleotides long. The record is from Ensembl. NCBI's taxonomy places the organism in Eukaryota, Metazoa, Chordata, Mammalia, Primates, Cercopithecidae.